Molecule: long non-coding RNA, 361 nt
Filed under: Vigna radiata
Lineage: Eukaryota; Viridiplantae; Streptophyta; Magnoliopsida; Fabales; Fabaceae
Description: long non-coding RNA (VRAD_LNC018522)
Source: RNAcentral
UGGCACUCUAGGAAUGGAGAGGAUUGUGUUUUGUGAGUGGCCACAUGUCCUCCCAUCAUUGGAGGUUAGAAGGCCUCGUUUUUGGCCAAUGAGAGCAAAGGUGGGAGAUCAUGCUUUUAGGGUUAGAAGGUGACACCCUUGGCCUAUAAAUAGAGGUGUCUCCACCCUUGUACUACUCAUCUUAGAUCAAGACUAGAGCAACCCAUGAGGCCCUUCCUCCUUGAGUUGGCCUAACCUCUCUUGGAGCCACCAAACACUACACCACCACCACCAUAUCUCCUAGAGGCUUUGAGCUUCUACACCAUCCAUACCUUAACUCAUCAUCAUUGGACCAUUUACUACCAUAUUUCCGUACCAUUCC